Molecule: ribosomal RNA, 496 nt
Filed under: uncultured bacterium
Lineage: Bacteria
Description: partial 16S ribosomal RNA
Rfam family: Bacterial small subunit ribosomal RNA
Source: RNAcentral
GAUGAACGCUGGCGGCGUGCCUAAUACAUGCAAGUCGAGCGAACAGACGAGGAGCUUGCUCCUUUGACGUUAGCGGCGGACGGGUGAGUAACACGUGGAUAACCUACCUAUAAGACUGGGAUAACUUCGGGAAACCGGAGCUAAUACCGGAUAAUAUAUUGAACCGCAUGGUUCAAUAGUGAAAGACGGUUUUGCUGUCACUUAUAGAUGGAUCCGCGCCGCAUUAGCUAGUUGGUAAGGUAACGGCUACCAAGGCGACGAUGCGUAGCCGACCUGAGAGGGUGAUCGGCCACACUGGAACUGAGACACGGUCCAGACUCCUACGGGAGGCAGCAGUAGGGAAUCUUCCGCAAUGGGCGAAAGCCUGACGGAGCAACGCCGCGUGAGUGAUGAAGGUCUUCGGAUCGUAAAACUCUGUUAUUAGGGAAGAACAAAUGUGUAAGUAACUAUGCACGUCUUGACGGUACCUAAUCAGAAAGCCACGGCUAACUACGUG